This 752-nucleotide ribosomal RNA is filed under the name uncultured Glomeraceae. RNAcentral describes it as "SSU rRNA". It matches the Rfam family "Eukaryotic small subunit ribosomal RNA", at positions 338 to 1092 of the family's 1831-position model. The record is from RNAcentral. Lineage: Eukaryota; Fungi; Glomeromycota; Glomeromycetes; Glomerales; Glomeraceae.
GGCCUACCAUGGUGGUAACGGGUAACGGGGUGUUAGGGCACGACACCGGAGAGGGAGCCUGAGAAACGGCUACCACAUCCAAGGAUGGCAGCAGGCGCGCAAAUUACCCAAUCCCGACACGGGGAGGUAGUGACAAUAAAUAACAAUACGGGGUUCUAAAGGAUUUCGUAAUUGGAAUGAGUACAAUUUAAAUCUCUUAACGAUCAACAAUUGGAGGGCAAGUCUGGUGCCAGCAGCCGCGGUAAUUCCAGCUCCAAUAGCGUAUAUUAAAGUUGUUGCAGUUAAAAAGCUCGUAGUUGAAUUUCGGGGUUAGUAGGUUGGUCAUGCCUCUGGUAUGUACUGAUCUCACUGAUUCCUCCCUCUUGACGAACUGUAAUGUCAUUAAUUUGGUGUUGCAGGAAAUCAGGACUGUUACUUUGAAAAAAUUAGAGUGUUUAAAGCAGGCUAAGGCUUGAAUACAUUAGCAUGGAAUAAUGAAAUAGGACGUUUGAUCCUAUUUUGUUGGUUUCUAGGAUUGACGUAAUGAUUAAUAGGGAUAGUUGGGGGCAUUAGUAUUCAAUUGUCAGAGGUGAAAUUCUUGGAUUUAUUGAAGACUAACUACUGCGAAAGCAUUUGCCAAGGAUGUUUUCAUUAGUCAAGAACGAAAGUUAGGGGAUCGAAGACGAUCAGAUACCGUCGUAGUCUUAACCAUAAACUAUGCCGACUAGGGAUCGGAUGAUGUUAAUUAUUUAAUGACUCAUUCGCGCCUUACG